AGCGUACACGGUGGAUGCCCUGGCAGUCAGAGGCGAUGAAGGACGUGCUAAUCUGCGAUAAGCGUCGGUAAGGUGAUAUGAACCGUUAUAACCGGCGAUUUCCGAAUGGGGAAACCCAGUGUGAUUCGUCACACUAUCAUUAACUGAAUCCAUAGGUUAAUGAGGCGAACCGGGGGAACUGAAACAUCUAAGUACCCCGAGGAAAAGAAAUCAACCGAGAUUCCCCCAGUAGCGGCGAGCGAACGGGGAGCAGCCCAGAGCCUGAAUCAGUGUGUGUGUUAGUGGAAGCGUCUGGAAAGGCGCGCGAUACAGGGUGACAGCCCCGUACACAAAAAUGCACAUACUGUGAGCUCGAUGAGUAGGGCGGGACACGUGGUAUCCUGUCUGAAUAUGGGGGGACCAUCCUCCAAGGCUAAAUACUCCUGACUGACCGAUAGUGAACCAGUACCGUGAGGGAAAGGCGAAAAGAACCCCGGCGAGGGGAGUGAAAAAGAACCUGAAACCGUGUACGUACAAGCAGUGGGAGCACAGAGCAAUCUGUGUGACUGCGUACCUUUUGUAUAAUGGGUCAGCGACUUAUAUUCUGUAGCAAGGUUAACCGAAUAGGGGAGCCGAAGGGAAACCGAGUCUUAACUGGGCGUUAAGUUGCAGGGUAUAGACCCGAAACCCGGUGAUCUAGCCAUGGGCAGGUUGAAGGUUGGGUAACACUAACUGGAGGACCGAACCGACUAAUGUUGAAAAAUUAGCGGAUGACUUGUGGCUGGGGGUGAAAGGCCAAUCAAACCGGGAGAUAGCUGGUUCUCCCCGAAAGCUAUUUAGGUAGCGCCUCGUGAAUUCAUCUCCGGGGGUAGAGCACUGUUUCGGCAAGGGGGUCAUCCCGACUUACCAACCCGAUGCAAACUGCGAAUACCGGAGAAUGUUAUCACGGGAGACACACGGCGGGUGCUAACGUCCGUCGUGAAGAGGGAAACAACCCAGACCGCCAGCUAAGGUCCCAAAGUCAUGGUUAAGUGGGAAACGAUGUGGGAAGGCCCAGACAGCCAGGAUGUUGGCUUAGAAGCAGCCAUCAUUUAAAGAAAGCGUAAUAGCUCACUGGUCGAGUCGGCCUGCGCGGAAGAUGUAACGGGGCUAAACCAUGCACCGAAGCUGCGGCAGCGACGCUUAUGCGUUGUUGGGUAGGGGAGCGUUCUGUAAGCCUGCGAAGGUGUGCUGUGAGGCAUGCUGGAGGUAUCAGAAGUGCGAAUGCUGACAUAAGUAACGAUAAAGCGGGUGAAAAGCCCGCUCGCCGGAAGACCAAGGGUUCCUGUCCAACGUUAAUCGGGGCAGGGUGAGUCGACCCCUAAGGCGAGGCCGAAAGGCGUAGUCGAUGGGAAACAGGUUAAUAUUCCUGUACUUGGUGUUACUGCGAAGGGGGGACGGAGAAGGCUAUGUUGGCCGGGCGACGGUUGUCCCGGUUUAAGCGUGUAGGCUGGUUUUCCAGGCAAAUCCGGAAAAUCAAGGCUGAGGCGUGAUGACGAGGCACUACGGUGCUGAAGCAACAAAUGCCCUGCUUCCAGGAAAAGCCUCUAAGCAUCAGGUAACAUCAAAUCGUACCCCAAACCGACACAGGUGGUCAGGUAGAGAAUACCAAGGCGCUUGAGAGAACUCGGGUGAAGGAACUAGGCAAAAUGGUGCCGUAACUUCGGGAGAAGGCACGCUGAUAUGUAGGUGAAGUCCCUCGCGGAUGGAGCUGAAAUCAGUCGAAGAUACCAGCUGGCUGCAACUGUUUAUUAAAAACACAGCACUGUGCAAACACGAAAGUGGACGUAUACGGUGUGACGCCUGCCCGGUGCCGGAAGGUUAAUUGAUGGGGUUAGCGCAAGCGAAGCUCUUGAUCGAAGCCCCGGUAAACGGCGGCCGUAACUAUAACGGUCCUAAGGUAGCGAAAUUCCUUGUCGGGUAAGUUCCGACCUGCACGAAUGGCGUAAUGAUGGCCAGGCUGUCUCCACCCGAGACUCAGUGAAAUUGAACUCGCUGUGAAGAUGCAGUGUACCCGCGGCAAGACGGAAAGACCCCGUGAACCUUUACUAUAGCUUGACACUGAACAUUGAGCCUUGAUGUGUAGGAUAGGUGGGAGGCUUAGAAGUGUGGACGCCAGUCUGCAUGGAGCCGACCUUGAAAUACCACCCUUUAAUGUUUGAUGUUCUAACGUUGACCCGUAAUCCGGGUUGCGGACAGUGUCUGGUGGGUAGUUUGACUGGGGCGGUCUCCUCCUAAAGAGUAACGGAGGAGCACGAAGGUUGGCUAAUCCUGGUCGGACAUCAGGAGGUUAGUGCAAUGGCAUAAGCCAGCUUGACUGCGAGCGUGACGGCGCGAGCAGGUGCGAAAGCAGGUCAUAGUGAUCCGGUGGUUCUGAAUGGAAGGGCCAUCGCUCAACGGAUAAAAGGUACUCCGGGGAUAACAGGCUGAUACCGCCCAAGAGUUCAUAUCGACGGCGGUGUUUGGCACCUCGAUGUCGGCUCAUCACAUCCUGGGGCUGAAGUAGGUCCCAAGGGUAUGGCUGUUCGCCAUUUAAAGUGGUACGCGAGCUGGGUUUAGAACGUCGUGAGACAGUUCGGUCCCUAUCUGCCGUGGGCGCUGGAGAACUGAGGGGGGCUGCUCCUAGUACGAGAGGACCGGAGUGGACGCAUCACUGGUGUUCGGGUUGUCAUGCCAAUGGCACUGCCCGGUAGCUAAAUGCGGAAGAGAUAAGUGCUGAAAGCAUCUAAGCACGAAACUUGCCCCGAGAUGAGUUCUCCCUGACUCCUUGA
This 2789-nucleotide ribosomal RNA is filed under the name Escherichia coli. RNAcentral's name for it is "bacterial LSU rRNA". It matches the Rfam family "Bacterial large subunit ribosomal RNA". The record is from RNAcentral. Lineage: Bacteria; Pseudomonadati; Pseudomonadota; Gammaproteobacteria; Enterobacterales; Enterobacteriaceae.